CCCCGGGCUCAAUUCGGGCGCUGCGACAGAAACUGUUGGGCUAGAGUGAGUGAGAGGUGAGUGGAAUUCAAAGCGUAGCGGUGAAAUGCGUAGAGGUCUUGAGGAACAUCAGUGGCGAAGGCGACUAACUGGCACUACACUGACGCUGAGGUGCGAAAGCGUGGGGAGCGAACAGGAUUAGAUACCCUGGUAGUCCACACCCUAAACGAUGAGGACUGGCUGUGAGUGCUAUAGACUCAUUGGUAGAUGAAGCUAACGCGUUAAGAUCUCCGCCUGGGGAGUACGGCCGCAAGAGUGAAACUCAAAGGAAUGGACGGGGGCCCGCACAAGCGGUGGAGCAUGUGGUUUAAUUCGAUGCAACCGCAAGAACCUUACCAUCCCUUGACAUCCUUGACAACGGGCAUGAGAUGGACCCGUGCCUUCGGAACUGAGUGACAGGUGCUGCACGGCUGUCGUCAGCUCGUGUCGUGAGAUGUCGGGUUAAGUCCCGCAACGAGCGCAACCCCUAUCUAUAGUUGCCAGCACGUCAUGGGGGGAACUCUANNNNNNCUGCCGGUGAUAAGCCGGAGGAAGGUUGGGAAGACGUCAAGUCAUCAUGGCCCUUACGGGAUGGGAUACACACGUGCUACUAUGGUGCAUACAGAGGGUUGCCAACCCGCCAGGGGGAGCUAAUCUCAGAAAGUGCAUAUUAGUCAGGAGGGCAGUCUGCUAGUCGCCUGCAUGAAGUCGGAAUCGGUAGUAGUGGCGAAGCAGCAACGUCGCGGUGAAUACGUUCCCGGGCCUUGUACACACCGCCCGUCAAACCAUGAAAGUGGGUUGCUCCAGAAGUGGCUAGUCCAACCUUCGGGCAGCCGGUGACCACGG
RNAcentral lists this ribosomal RNA (864 nucleotides) under uncultured gamma proteobacterium QSSC9L-10. RNAcentral describes it as "bacterial SSU rRNA". It matches the Rfam family "Bacterial small subunit ribosomal RNA", at positions 601 to 1462 of the family's 1533-position model. Lineage: Bacteria; Pseudomonadati; Pseudomonadota; Gammaproteobacteria. The record is from RNAcentral.